UGGGGAAUAUUGGACAAUGGGCGCAAGCCUGAUCCAGCCAUGCCGCGUGAGUGACGAAGGCCUUAGGGUUGUAAAGCUCUUUUGGCGGGGAAGAUAAUGACGGUACCCGCAGAAUAAGCUCCGGCUAACUUCGUGCCAGCAGCCGCGGUAAUACGAAGGGAGCUAGCGUUGUUCGGAAUCACUGGGCGUAAAGCGCACGUAGGUGGGCAGUUAAGUCAGGGGUGAAAGCCCGAGGCUCAACCUCGGAAUUGCCUCUGAUACUGGCUGUCUAGAGUUCGAGAGAGGUGAGUGGAAUUCCUAGUGUAGAGGUGAAAUUCGUAGAUAUUAGGAAGAACACCGGUGGCGAAGGCGGCUCACUGGCUCGAUACUGACACUGAGGUGCGAAAGCGUGGGGAGCAAACAGGAUUAGAUACCCCCGUAUUCCCUGAGCGGGCUGGCAAGGCGCAU
Molecule: ribosomal RNA, 447 nt
Filed under: uncultured bacterium
Lineage: Bacteria
Description: bacterial SSU rRNA
Rfam family: Bacterial small subunit ribosomal RNA
Source: RNAcentral